RNAcentral lists this long non-coding RNA (2090 nucleotides) under Mus musculus (house mouse). Its description in RNAcentral is "long non-coding RNA chr1:178937109-178939199". The record is from RNAcentral. Lineage: Eukaryota; Metazoa; Chordata; Mammalia; Rodentia; Muridae.
AAACAAACACAUUCUACUUUGGGGUGGCCCUUUGCAAAACCUGAGGUGAUGUCACAAUGUUGGACAUAGUGUGACACUGUGGGAGGGGCGAAGCUGAAUAUUCUCCACACACAACAAUUACUGGUGUCAUGUGAAAGUGAGCACUCCAAUCCCUGGGUUUUAUGUCCACUUAGAAUGACCUUGCCCAAAGGAGUCUCCUGCAUCCAUUCCCCACACCGCCAGCCUCCUACACUGCCAGGCUUGACUUAAGGAGACAUUAUUGAUUUGUAACCUCAGAAUGCUGUCCUGUAACACCGCUUAUGUUCCUAGAUCUAUUUCUGCACUGUGGUCAGGAACGCCCUCCACACGUCCUGAGUUGAAGUGUGUGUGCUUGCUCGGUCUGUGUUUUGUCUUUUUUCUUCUGUUUUUCUUACUCCAGCGAUGUCUAUUAGCAGAGACAUGGGCCAGGGAAGGGUGAUGGAUACAGCCAGGGGUGGGAUAUCAGCCUCAAAGUGCAGAGCUUUGCUCUGAAUCUCAGCAGGCAGCCAAAGGGACUGAGACAAAGCUCUUCCUUUCAAGUUGGCAUGGCAAUCAACUUGGAAAUCAGGUUCCCCGGGCCUUUGCCUUCCUAACAAAGGAUCCAGCCUCCUCCAACUGGGUCUCCACUCAGCCCCUGUAGAAAAGUGCUGACAGUAUUAAGUUCUACUCUUCCCUAAGACCCCAGGAGGUCCUCACCGUGCAUAGAUGUGCCAUCUGUUCUUGAGAAACCAAAGCACUUUAGUGAGUCUUACAACCCAUAAUACUUACAGUAUUUGCCCUCUGAAAGGUGGAAGGGGCUUGGGCUAGGUCUCAUUUGAGAGGCAACUAGAGCUAGGAGGAAAAGCCUGGAGCUAGACAGCAGGGAGCUAAGCCACAUCUGCACCACCACAAGCUAUGAACCUCGGGUAGGUUGCUGAAUUUUGCUGCCCCCCCCCCCUAGACAGUUGUGGGGAGGUCCUAACAGCUACCCUCCUGGGAUGGCAGAAAAGGAAGGGAAUAAUAUAACUGGUGGGACACGCUUUGAAGAAAUCAGAAGCUCUCUCCAGAGGGGAGGGAGGAUCAUGUAUAGAUGAAGAAGUUGACAUCCGUACUCACUGCCUGGCCAGGUUCACAGUCUCACAGCAGAACUGGGACAUGAGCCCCGCCACCUGGAGUGUCCCUGAUAGAGCACCUUUCACCCAGAGUGUGUACAUGAACACAGGCUGCUUCUCUGUGCCAGUGUGUGCACAUAUGUGGGUGUGUCUGUAUGGGGGGUGUGUGCAGCACAGAUGAACGUAGGACAGAAACUCCGAGUCCUAAUUCCUUUCUAACAGUCGACCUGUCUGUGGCCUGGGACACACAACCAACUCUUCUGGACCUCAGAUUUUCUAAGUCAUAAAACAAGGACAUUGUGGCAUGGGAUCUUUGUGGUUCUUCCAACUUUGGUGACGAGAGCCCCUAACGGGUGAUGUAUGUAUGUAUAUAUCGAUAUGCUUAUCUGUAGAAACGGGCCCAUUGGGAAAUUGGAGACGAGGCCUGCCCGAGUGCAUUGACUUGUAACAGAAUCGGCAACUUCACAAGUCCGUAAGCCUUCAUUUUAAAAGUCGAUGGGAUGGUGUCAUUUACUGUCAUUGUUUCAAAUUCACUGUUGAACUGGGUAGAGGAUUGGUGCUGUUUUAAAAACUAAGUUCUUAGCUCACAAGUGUUUGCUGUUACUUUUCAAAACACGAGUCAUUUGUUCAAAAGUCAAACUUUUAACUCUGCCUUGGGCAGGUCCCCAACAGCCUGUUUUGCAGGCUGGGUUUUGUGUAUGGGCUUUUACAUAACUAUAUAAAAGUUAGCUGUUGGCUUGAUCAUGGUAAAUAUGAACAGAUUGCCUGGAGAACAGUCCAGAAAAGAAUUGAAUUCUAUAGUUCUCAUCAACUGGUGACAUGAAACCAUUAAGCUGUGUGCAAUUCCCUGGUGUGAAGAUAUUGUUCACUGGCUACAGUCUCUGACUUUGUGGCAUAUGAGGUAUAAAAUGUUGUAAAAAAAAAAAAUCUGGUGUUUAAAAGAAUCAAAGUAUGGUGGCAUUAAAUGUUCACUUUUAUCCU